UACGUAGGGUGCGAGCGUUGUCCGGAAUUACUGGGCGUAAAGAGCUCGUAGGCGGUUUGUCGCGUCUGCUGUGAAAACUCGAGGCUCAACCUCGGGCUUGCAGUGGGUACGGGCAGACUAGAGUGCGGUAGGGGUGACUGGAAUUCCUGGUGUAGCGGUGGAAUGCGCAGAUAUCAGGAGGAACACCGAUGGCGAAGGCAGGUCACUGGGCCGCAACUGACGCUGAGGAGCGAAAGCAUGGGGAGCGAACAGG
RNAcentral lists this ribosomal RNA (253 nucleotides) under uncultured bacterium. RNAcentral's name for it is "partial 16S ribosomal RNA". It matches the Rfam family "Bacterial small subunit ribosomal RNA", at positions 524 to 776 of the family's 1533-position model. The record is from RNAcentral.